GGACCGUGCUGGAGCCCAUCUGCAUGUGCCAGGCAGGACCCUUUUGAUCCACCGCCACCGAGCUUGUCACCCCGGAGCUGGCAGGAAUGUGGCUGAGCGAGACCUCUCUGCUUGCUGGAGGCCGAUUUUGACGGCAGGCAGGCUGCAGUGGGGUUUCUCUUUCUCUUUGACCCUGCAGAAUCUAGAGGAACCACUUGUCAACUCAAAAGCUUUCCGUUGGGCAAAAUCCCAAGAGGAAAAGCAAACCGUCAUCCCACGUGGACUUGCCUGUGCUGCUAAGGAAAAGCCAUUCAAAGAGAGAUCAUGAAUGU
Callithrix jacchus (white-tufted-ear marmoset) is the source of this 311-nucleotide long non-coding RNA. RefSeq lists it as uncharacterized. The record is from RefSeq and is a predicted model, not a curated record. Lineage: Eukaryota; Metazoa; Chordata; Mammalia; Primates; Cebidae.